Molecule: ribosomal RNA, 320 nt
Filed under: uncultured bacterium
Lineage: Bacteria
Description: bacterial SSU rRNA
Rfam family: Bacterial small subunit ribosomal RNA
Source: RNAcentral
UGACGGUACCUGACUAAGAAGCCCCGGCUAACUACGUGCCAGCAGCCGCGGUAAUACGUAGGGGGCAAGCGUUAUCCGGAUUUACUGGGUGUAAAGAGUGCGUAGGUGGCAUGGUAAGUCAGAUGUGAAAUACCGGGGCUCAACUCCGGGGCUGCAUUUGAAACUGCCAGGCUGGAGUACAGGAGAGGCAAGCGGAAUUCCUAGUGUAGCGGUGAAAUGCGUAGAUAUUAGGAGGAACACCAGUGGCGAAGGCGGCUUGCUGGACUGUUACUGACACUGAGGCACGAAAGCGUGGGGAGCAAACAGGAUUAGAUACCCUG